RNAcentral lists this long non-coding RNA (2435 nucleotides) under Gallus gallus (chicken). Lineage: Eukaryota; Metazoa; Chordata; Aves; Galliformes; Phasianidae. The record is from RNAcentral.
AAAGCAAUGUUGGCCCUGUGAUACAUGGUUGUGUACCUGUUGAUAAGGUGGCAGUAUGCACUGAUGGUUCAUUUUACAAAGCGCAUUUUAGUAUGCUUUUGUCUUAUCAUUAUAAAAAAAAUAGUCCCAAACAGCUGAAUUACUUAUGUGUUUAUAAAAUGGAUCAGUGCAUUGUCUCGCCAGUUCUAUUUUUACGGUAUGAACUGUCUUAAAAAUAAGAUUCUCUAAAACUGCUUCUGCUUUAUUGGCUGAUUUUAAAACUUACUUUAAAAUGUUAACAGAAUCUUUGGGAGGUGAAACAUUCUACACAUAGAAAAACACUGUUCCAAGUGCAAAAGCUCUAAAAACUCAAGAUCUGCACAAUUUUUGUCCACCUAUUGUAAAUCAUCAAUAUUGCCAGGAUUAGUCUUAUGCUGAAGUCUUAUGCUUUCUUUUGAGCUAUGUGUGUUUUCUUUAUCCCACCUCAGAUCUGUGGUCAGCUGUGGGCCAACCCUUCACUGUGUGGGUGCAGGGCUGCUGGGGGAAGGCUGGGAAUGUGGAAAGGGGCUUCACAGGCUCAUUCUACUGUGCACUGAAUCUUGAGCUGCCAUUUUUCAGAUGUGCCAGCCUCAUUCAUAUCUCCUGAAGACUUGGACUGUGCAUCUGGAAGAUUCGAGUUUUGUUUCCAUUUCUUUAUAUGUUUUUAAUACAAGAGAUAGGACAAAUGAUCUGCUUCAGUUUUCAAGUGCCUGUCUGACAGUUUGCCAGAAUUUAUUCCAGAGCUAUUACUGAAUAAAGAUGAGCAAGUCGUGUAACAGCAAAAUAGCUUAUGGGUGGGGAAUAGGCCCCUUAAAAUAAUUCAUUUAGCAAUCUGCACAUCUAUAUACUAUAUUCUGCAUUUAGAUUUUCCAUUCUGGAACACUGCUUUUUCACAGGGAGCUGUGCUGGCUCCUAUCAGCGCAAAGGAAAUAUCUGAACUGUCAUUUACAUUAUUCCUUUUUGUAUGUAGGGUUCUCAGAUUACUACUUUUUUGGUGCAUAACUGAUUCUCUCCACCUGUCACCUUGAUUAAAGAAUGCCUCUGAAAGAAAAGGCAUACUGUUUCAUAACUGUAUUUGCAUUUACAGCUAUGCAUUCAGGCAUGAACUUACCAGAAUAAGUACUGACAAGGAAAGAAAAACAGGAGGAAUGUGCUUUGGCAGGCUGGGAGAUGCUUUGUGGAGAAGGGGUCCUGAGCACAUUUAGCAAGGCCCAGCCCUUGCCAGGACUUUGUGCUGGCUUAGAGGUCUUAGUGGAAAAACGGUCCUACCGUGGCUCAGUGCGUAUUUCCACCACACUUGUACCCCACACUCUUUAUUCUGUCUGUUGGCUCCCUUUUCUGCCAGCGUAGAUGACAUGAAACAACUGCAGUUCUGGGGUCUUUCCGAAAUAAUUAAGUGGGUGGUCCAAGGUACUAAUCACAAGUAUUACAAGCUUUUUAAAAUCCCCUUCAGUUGCUGUGCGUUAUCUAGCGUAGAACUGACACCAUUGAGCCUAGACCUAGCUGAGUGCUGGCAGUGGGCGAGAUAAUCCCUGUCUGUGGGCUGGAAAGCAUUUGGGAUUCUUCUGGAUGAAAGGUGCUAUAUAAUGCAAGCUAUUAUCAUGAAGAACAGAAGAAGAAAUUGCAUAAGGUAGGUGGAAGGCAUUUGAUAAUGCAGAGGGAAAAAGAGAAAUGACAGUUCUUGCCCCACAGUGCUUUUGAUCCAAGGGUUCAAUCCUUCACACGCGUGCUCUGUUUUUACCAGGCAGUUAGUAGCGUUGCUUGAAGAGAGCAUUUUAGCCUGUAAGAUUACUUCUGAGCACAUUAUUGCAGGGGGAGAGACUAGUAAAGAAAUUACAAUGGCUACCACAAAGAAAAAAAAAGGAAAAAAAAGCGAAACUGUAGGUAGAAUGAGAGGAGCUUUCUUGGCACAGACCAAAUCUUUAUCCCUUAGCUGUGCUGUCUUUUCCACUUGGUCUUUUGGCAGAGCUGAGCAUUUCUUCACUUAGAAUAACAGACUUCUGCAAGCUGCAGUAUCUGAUGUGGUGCACUUGUUUCCUCAGCUCUGUAGCUGAUAACCUUUCCAGACUGUGCUUGUGCACUGUUCCAGGGUUUUGACUGCAGAGUAGAAACCCUUCAGCUUUCCUUUUCAGGCUAGUUUAUGGUCAUGGAUAAAAUAAAUCUUUUAAAAUUAUUUUUAAAUUAUUUUUAUUUCUAAAUCCAAAGCAUAGUUGGCUUAUUUAUGGGUCUGCUGGAAUGAGUUGUAAGGAAGAAUGUCUGAUCUUUACCUGAGUCUGUUGGCUAUUUCAAAAGUCAGAUGGGACUGAUGCAGUGUAGAGUAUGCAUGUAGACUGCUUUUCAUUGAUGUUUGAAAAAUGACCACCACAGUAAAUACCAAAUAUAAUGCAUUAAUGUUAUGCAUUAAUAUUAACUGUUGG